UACAGAGGGGGCAAGCGUUAUUCGGAAUUAUUGGGCGUAAAGGGCGCGUAGGCGGUUUUUUAAGUCGGAUGUGCAAUCCCUGGGCUCAACCCAGGAACUGCAUCCGAGACUGGAAGGCUAGAGUACUGGAGAGGGUGGUGGAAUUCCUCGUGUAGCGGUGAAAUGCGUAGAUAUGUGGAGGAACAUCAGUGGCGAAGGCGGCUUCCUGGCUUAAAACUGACACUGUGGCGCGAAAGCGUGGGUAGCAAACAGG
Molecule: ribosomal RNA, 253 nt
Filed under: uncultured bacterium
Lineage: Bacteria
Description: partial 16S ribosomal RNA
Rfam family: Bacterial small subunit ribosomal RNA
Source: RNAcentral